This 85-nucleotide small RNA is filed under the name Lacticaseibacillus paracasei. Its description in RNAcentral is "Lactobacillus paracasei mraW". Lineage: Bacteria; Bacillati; Bacillota; Bacilli; Lactobacillales; Lactobacillaceae. The record is from RNAcentral.
CUGACAAAGCACUCAAAAGCACCGCCAGUCGUUAACCUUUUAAUGGUUAGCGACUGGCGGUGCUUUUGGGUGAAACGUUGUUUGG